CCCUCCUGUAACAAAUAUCCCACAGUCUGGGCCUCAGAGUUGAGGCCUUAUUUAUGCAACUCCAACAAAAUUGGGAAACAGUUCAGUCAGGAAAAUGCUAAGGCCCAAAUGCAGCAAAAAGUCCCAUGUGAGUCAAUUCCUGGAUCCAACAUGAGAAAAUUGUCAGGGGAGGAGAUAACAGAGAUCAGUUAGAGCUCUAGCCCCCCGCACACAUCCUCACCUUUUCCACACAAGAACUCACACACAGCCUGUUGACUCCCAGAUGUAGUGUCAAAAGCCCAAAGAGAGGGCUGCAAAUAGAACAAAUGAAGACUUUCUGCCAUGGCUACUGAAAUCAACCCAAGGACCCUAGCAGAGCCACACCUGGAGGUGCAGCUGGCAUGGAGCUGCUGCAGGGCCACAUGGACAGGAGGAAGAGGAAGAGUCUGUUGCUUGAUAUGCCUGCAGCUUAGGCCCACAAACUGUUCCAUGUUACCACUAGAUCAACGAUGGAUGACUGCAGUUUAAGUGGAAAAACAACUUUACAUAUGUUUCCAACUACAGUCUGCCAGCCUCAUAUUUUAAUGGAUGUUUCUCACACUGUCCAUCACAUACAAAAUGAUGUGGGAGCUCAAAGUGGAGAGAAUAGAAUGAUCAAAAUCCCACUUGUUUCAGAGCUUGCAGAAAAGAAGAUAGAAAAGAGAAGGAGUGGGUGAAAAAAGAAAGAAAGAAAGAAAGAAAUGCUAGCAGGUUAGCCUUCCCAUUUAUAUUAUCAUAAAGAAAGCAACAGAAAGAGAAAGAGGACAUACAAUGGCUAAUAGUAAUGGCAUAGUGUCCAAAUAUUUGCAAUGUUUUUCUCCAAGUACUUGCCAAACUCUGGUUUCCCAUUACAGAAUAAUGCCAGGGCAUCACCCAGUGAUUCAGUCAUGGGCCUCUCCAUCUCUUGUCACUGAUGAAAUACUAAUGUAGCAUCUCUGCAAAUUCCACAGUCCAAAUUUUCACAUCCAGGAGAGGCUGAAGUGGUUUAUCUUGAGAUUAUAAAAAUUUGAUUUAAAAAGUAUAUUUCAGCCUCAUCUGUUCUUUUCAUGUAGAGCAUCUGAAAAAGGAUAGGGG
This 1092-nucleotide long non-coding RNA is filed under the name Numida meleagris (helmeted guineafowl). RNAcentral describes it as "lncRNA (ENSNMEG00000018146.1)". The record is from RNAcentral. Lineage: Eukaryota; Metazoa; Chordata; Aves; Galliformes; Numididae.